Molecule: non-coding RNA, 30 nt
Filed under: Rattus norvegicus (Norway rat)
Lineage: Eukaryota; Metazoa; Chordata; Mammalia; Rodentia; Muridae
Source: RNAcentral
UUUUUAAAAAGUAAAAAUACUCAUUGGGAC